Molecule: long non-coding RNA, 570 nt
Organism: Oncorhynchus keta (chum salmon)
Lineage: Eukaryota; Metazoa; Chordata; Actinopteri; Salmoniformes; Salmonidae
Exons: 4
Source: RefSeq, a predicted model, not a curated record
CUAUGCAUAGAUAAUAAACAGUGAGUAGCAGCAGUGUACAUGUAGGUAGGGGUGAAGUGACUAUACAUAGAUAAUAAACAGUGAGUAGCAGCAGUGUACAUGUAGGUAGGGGUGAAGUGACUAUACAUAGAUAAUAAACAGAGAGUAGCAGCAGUGUACAUGUAGGUAGGGGUGAAGUGACUAUACAUAGAUAAUAAACAGAGAGUAGCAGCAGUGUACAUGUAGGUAGGGGUGAAGUGACUAUGCAUAGAUAAUAAACAGAGAGUAGCAGCAGUGUACAUGUAGGUAGGGGUGAAGUGACUAUGGAUAGAUAAUAAACAGAGAGUAGCAGCAGUGUACAUGUAGGUAGGGGUGAAGUGACUAUACAUAGAUAAUAAACAGAGAGUAGCAGCAGUGUACAUGUAGGUGGGGGUGAAGUGACUAUACAUAGAUAAUAAACAGAGAGUAGCAGCAGUGUACAUGUAGGUGGGGGUGAAGUGACUAUGUAUAGAUAAUAAACAGAGAGUAGCAGCAGUGUACAUGUAGGUGGGGGUGAAGUGACUAUACAUAGAUAAUAAACAGAGAGUAGCA